CUGAAUUUUUGCCCUUGUGCAAGUGAGGCUCUCAAUACAGACAGGAGCCUGGGAUGGAAUAGAAGUAGGGCCCGAUGAGGACCAUGUGCCUCUUUUCCUUACUCUUCUGUAUUCGGGCAGUCUCUGACGUGUCUAGAAUGCUAGAGGAAGGAUUCCAAGUCAUUAGAAAAGGACAUUUAUCAAGAUAGGAUGGAGUAUACUCCAUAAAGUAUAAUGAGCUCCACUUCAUUAUCCCGAGGGAAGAAAAAGUUAUGAUUGGAAAAGGACGUGGCCUGUUCCAUUUCUCGACUUGGGUGAUGAUUACAUAGAGGCUUAUUCUUGGGCUUUCUACAUUCCUUUCCAUGGAUGAGGGAUCUCUCAAUAAAAUGUUAAAAAAAAAAAAAAGCUAAAAAAUGUAUUGUUCUUAAUUAGGAAAAAAAAAAUCUGAUAUCUCAGAAAAGCCUUUCUUUUGAACUUGUUUACCACAGAUUAUACUACAUCUGUUCUAAAAAAUCUUGGCUCAGUGAUGAAAAUAAACAGGAAAAUUAAUGUACAUGCUCUAGAAGACAGCUAAAUACAUUAUAUAAUAUGUAUGUACAUGCAUAUCUAUCAAUGUGUGUAUGUUGGAUUUUUGUCCUCUCUUCCUCAGCCAGAGAAAGAAAACCAUUCUCUCUCCUCUUUGCAUUCUCAGUAGUUCCUGUGGGUUAAUGAGAAAAGUAUUUUCAAGCAUGUUUUUUUUUAAUUUGACUGUAAAGUCUGUGGUUUGUUUAUCCGAAAGAAGCAGCAAUGAUAAUUUAAGGCAAAGAAGAGUACUUAACUUUUUUCAGCUUGGAGAACCAUUGUGUAUAAAGUUUGUUUUAUAAUUUCAUGAAAAAAACACCGUGGAUAUGCUUUCCACAUCUAAAUAUUCAUAACAAAGACUUUUCUCUGCUUUUAUCUUUCAGGUGUCAUCUUCACCGAAUCAAGAAAGUAAUACAGAAGAUCAAGUGUGGCACUUCCUUGGCAAGUGAUGGAACAUUUGAAGUUUGGCUAUCAAGACUCCCCAUCUCCAAGGUCUCCACGACUCCCUUUCCUCCAAGUGCUAGCAACAGGCAGAUCUAUGAGGAUUUACUGAUUUCCUGUUGAAACCUCAUUGUUUUUCCAGCCUUUUUUGAGAUACACAAUAUGUAAAUAAAGACCGAUAUUUUAAAAUU
RNAcentral lists this long non-coding RNA (1172 nucleotides) under Canis lupus dingo (dingo). RNAcentral describes it as "lncRNA (ENSCAFG00020001355.1)". Lineage: Eukaryota; Metazoa; Chordata; Mammalia; Carnivora; Canidae. The record is from RNAcentral.